AUAAUAGGCAAACAAACAUGUUGCAUUUAACCUAAAGUGAAAGUUGUAAGACAAAAACACGGACAACGCCCUAAAGCUUAACCAGUGUUGUCCGUUUAAACUCUAACCUAUGUAUUGACUUUAAACAAUCGAUUUGGACUAUGAGCUCAUGUUAAAGUUUGCUGAGGUAAUACAUCAGUGGAAAACAAACUCGUAGACAUAGAUCGUGGGAUAAGACCUAUUCGUCACAUGUCAAACUGUUUCCACUCCACCUGUUGACAGGUGGAAACGGUGUGGAGUAUAAUGAAGGAGGAAAAUCAGAGAUUCUCAGGUAUUCCUUCAUCGUCACCAACUCAUUUAUGGUGCAAGUAACACGCAUACGACAGAGCACUUUGUCCAUCUGGUGACUUGAAAAUGUCAUUGAAAAUGAUAAUAGAGAGCAGAACAUAUAUGAAGCUGGUUCAAUCAUCGUUCAAUAUGUUUAGGUUUGACUAAACCUUCAAUAUAGUAAAGUGAACAAUGUCAGCGUGGGUGCACUUAAAUGUUUGCAUGUGGGUGUGUAAUGAAUAGCAUGAUUAACAGCAGUGUUCUGGCAUUUGUUCUAUUCAUAGUACACUGAGUGACGUCUCUUGGCCCUUGUUAUAACUCCAGGUAUAGCAGACAAUAGUUAAACAGAGAUUAACAUGGAUGUACUUGUGCCUGUGCUGUCAAAUGGAAACUAAAGUAAAUGACAUCUCUACAAACAAAUAGCUGUUUUUUUUUUUAUUGGCUAAAGUACAUAAACCACAUGAUGGUGAGGUUGUGGGUUGGGAAUGAUGUAGAUAAGGAGUGUGCCCUGUGAAGGACUGCAAAGCACAUCCAGAUGACUGAGACACAACACUGUUAGACAAUAUAACCCUUAUAGACACAAAGCAGCACAGUUUACACAGGGCUAUAAUCUGAAAUGAGAGGACUCCGUGCAGAGCUACAAAUUAAAUAAAGCCCAAAUCUGGAUUCCAUUAUCAUGCCUCCCAAUGCCUACAUUUUUGCAACAUUUAAAUGGCAAAAUAAAUAUGAGUGUUGCCCCAUCAAACAAAGCUCUAACCAGUAUUUGUUUUGUGGGAACGCUCUCAGAAAUGAAAAGCUACCCCCUGUAAACACAGCCUUUGCGGCCUAAAAUUUUCAAAUGCCACCAAAAUGUUCCGGGUGUAGUAAUUGCUGGCAGAUUUGUAGAUGUGUGUUUUAAUUAGCCUCGACAGGCUGCUGAUGGCAUUACACAAGUUGUUCUCAUCAAAAAGGCCCCAGAGAUGGAAAACCAAAAGAGAUCAACCAUGUGGACACGAUACAGUGAAUCGGAAUGAGCCCGGAGUUAAAGUUUGAAACCAACAGCUACAGAAGAAUGACCACAUAUCUGAACAGCUGCCCUGAACCUUAAUGCUAUUGAGGUAAUUGCUGAAAGGUUCUGUGUUUAACUAUGUUCAAGUCUAUGGAAGAUAGAUAUAAUAGUUGAUCUAACGCAGUAGUCUCAAAAUGGACUUUGGACUCUUGUCUUCCCUGAAUGGAGCAAACAUCUCUACUCGCGUUGCUGUUAUCCACCUCUCUUGCUCAGAGUUUUUACGCCCCUUUAAUCCUGCGUGCCCGCGCUGCCUCCGCUCGCACCUCAUCAACUCCACGCUAACACAAACCUCCUCUCAUGUGGCUUCCCCUUUCCCCCCGGCACGGGAUCCACAUCACUGGGACUGCAGCCGCCAUGCGGGGCCUUUUUCCACUUCUACGGCCACGCUCGGCCAAGAUUUAUUCAACUCUUCAACCAAAAUGUAAUUUUCACCGUGUUGGUUUUUCAGAGUGAGGGGAGUGGGUAGUGAUUUUUUUUUUGGUGCUUUGAGAGUCAAGUCUACUCAGCUGGGAUAGUGGGACAGCUCGCUCCAACACCAAUACCCCAAACCCAGAUAGACAGAUACUCUGAACACGGCCAUAGAAAAGAACAGCAUUUACCGUUGCAGAGUGAGUAAAUGUACCUUAUAAAACCAAUGAAAAUUAUAUGUAAUAGAAGUGAUGUACCAUUCUGUGGUUGUACUCAGGAGACUCACAGACUUCAAGGAGACAGCUCACAUAGAUCACAACCAGUGAAUCAUGACGUGCCAAAGUAUGCAGUGAGCAUAGUGAGUGGCAGAGAAACGAAGGCAAACUAGAUAGAGAGACAAGAGAAAAGGCUCAGAGACGUAAGAAAAGCAAAAGGCAAAAGGUCAAAGAUACAAAUCGCACUCUGAGAAUCAUUCCCUUUGCCAAGACGGAUGUCUAAAGUGAAUAUAUAAUGAAGGUUAACAGUUUCACAACGUGUUCUGCCGGUUCUAAACUGGGGCUCUGACUGCUCCUACCGGUUGUCUUGCUACGACUCAGGCCGCCCUCUGUCCCAGGGGAUUUUUACAGAUCCGUCACCUCACGCCUCAAUGCCAAUCAAGUUCAAAGGAAAGGCCCGGUGAACGCAUGGGGACGUGUGACUCUAGGUGGCCGUGUUACGUGUGUCACGCCAAUCUGAGGAGUUUUGUUCCCCUCUCAUGACGGACCGGGCUAAAUAUACACGAUACAGCAAAUAGUGACCCACCGUUUCCUCUCUUGGUGAGCACCAGUGUUCACUGGAUGCAAUGAAGUAGUUUGACUUCUGUAGCUUAGCUUAGCUUAACUUAGCAUAGUUUAGAUUUGGCAUGUGGAAAAGUUAGUUUUUUCAAUAAUUCUUUCAUUAUUGUUAUUAUUUCAUACCAAUGAAAUGUAUCAUGUUCACACUCAUAUAUUAUCUAUCUAUAAUUUAACAAGGCCGAUGUUAGUUUUCUCUAUUUUGCCACUAGUGGGACAGUUCACGACAAGCCAAGCUGCGGUCAAUAUUGCCUAGUAUUACUGUCCAGUUAUAUCGUCGUAAAGGUAGUUGUAAAAAGUUAUAAUAUUUUUCCAUUUCAUCCAAGGCUUGAUUCACAAAGGAAUGAUGAGGAAACGUUUCGGUCUUUUGUAACAACAACUCUGCUGUCAACACCACUUUCACAAGUGCUUUUGUGAGAGGGAUCAUUUAAGUAAAUGUAAGUGCACUGUACACCCCUUUACAGUUAGUGGAAUGAAUGAGAAACUUGCUCCUGUCUAUUAUCUCUAAGAAAUAAUAAAAGGGACUUGAAAUCGUGCGCACUAUACACACCCAAACACACGCAAACACAGACAAGCGACACACUGCUCUUCGUCUUCCUAUUUGUGCAAACUCAAUCAAAUGAUUUUCUGAAUAGCAAUAAAGCAGUCUUUAUUUUGCUUGGCUGGGCAUGCAUCCCGUCCCCCGUCCCCCCCCACCGCCUCUACUGCGACUCCCAGCCCUCUAACCGCACCCAGCAGGAUCGGUUUUCCCCCCAGAAUCCCACUGAAGCGCUGCCAUGUCGGCUGGAGACAAUCAGCCGAAAAUGCUCCUAAGAUAUUCCUGCUUCUUUUCAAAAGCCCAAAAUUCAAUUUAUGGACACAUUUAUUACCAUGUCUGUCAGUGACUAGAAGGGAGUUUCAUAAUCAGGAGCACACAUCUGAUCUGGUCACAGCAGGCCGCCUCGCUUGGCCAAUAUGCGCUCUAUUACACGGUCAGAGCCAGCCGACCCACAGAGGAAAAGGAAAACAUGAGCAAACAAAAGACUAGGUAGUUAGACAUGGAAUGGGGGCCCUCAGAUGUAGCAUUUAAAAAAAAAAAAAAAAGGGCUGAUCUGAUUUAGGAGUGGGGCCGCAGGGAGAAGAUCCUUCAACUCAGUACCAGAGCAGGGACCAUGAGAUGAGAGAUCACAUAGCACUCUCCCAAAACUACACAGCAUUCCCACAGCACACUUCCCCUUUCUGAUGUUAUUAAAAACAUAAACGGGAUAUUUUUGUUGUUUAAUGAUGUUUCUGUCGGCCUCUUAGUAGCAGAGGCUUGAAAACCUUAAGGGCUUCUUUGCACGGUUGAACACCUUUUCAUCCAGUUGCGGUCUUGUAUCCUACACCAACAGUUUCCAUUGUUUGUCAUAUUUUUUUGAAAGUUGCCAAAAACUACACAAGAUCCGCUUUUAAACUCCAAUAAAGUAGACAGAGGGUGGCUUGUUAGGGGCGAGCUACACCAACACUGAGUCCUGAACGAUUUACUAUCCCUGCUCCGCUUGUGAAACAUAGAUUCUAAUGAGUUCUCUGCAGGCGGCGCGUCACUCAACUCUGGAACACGAGGGGCAUGGACUGGACCAAGAGGCAGUGAUUGAGGGCUUUAGUCCUAUGUGGAGUCUGCGGUUUGUGGUGUGUGUGUCUCAUACGUACACCAAUCAGUGGUUCUUGGUCCAGUGGUUGGACAGAGUGUCAGUGAUGUCUGAGAGCCACUGUUCACACACGAUGUGUCGAGUCAGACUGAAUACCCCUGGAGAGAUGCAAAACUCAGGCAUGCACCAUAAAUCAGUUUACGCACAGUGGUCCAGCUAAACUCUUGCCAGUGCUCAGUCUAGUGAAAACAGGAGAAAAAAAGUAGCCUAAGCUCCCCCUAGAGGCCAAAACUAGAGGCUGAUUCUGUUAGGCAAGCGAAGCGUGUCCUUCGUUAGCUGAAAGAUCACGUUUUACCACAGGAGCAACACGUUUACUGGUGCAGAGGGCUCUGUGAAAUCUCAACCAAAAAGAUUCUCUGUUUGCCUUCCAGGGCAAUUAGGGAGGCUAUCACCUGACACUCACGCAGGUAAUGUCCUGGAUUUAAGCCAGAACUGAAUUUCAUCAUGGUCAGUCUGACUGCGGCACCCUUGGAAAAUAUGUGCAGAAACUGAAAACCACACUUGCAAAAUUGCCUGCUUGUCCCCUGUGUUGGUUUUGGAUGAGGACUCUGUGCUGGAGCUUUGGGGCUUCUGGAGCCUGUGCCAGGAUCCUUAAAAACUAGUAACUGAUACCCCCCAACAUAGUGUGAAAUGCUCGGUUAUUAAAAUGAGAGCAAAUCCCACUGGAAUGUUUUACACGUUUACUAGGUGUAUGUCAAGGUAAAGGACAACACUAGUGAAUUAUGGGUUGGAUUUGGAUCCAGGGAAUUGAAUCCAGGGGCAGGCCGAAAGAAAACGAGACCGGGGAGGCGUUGCUCAGGGUGACAGUUCUGACUGCCAGGAUAUAAAUGUAGCCCACCCUCAGCAUGCUCCACAAAAAACUCCGCGCCCCCUACAGUUAAAACACACACAUGUCAAACUUUAUUGGCCUUAAUAGUAAAUGCCAGAAUGAUAAAUAAAACAGUAUCAAGAGUCCCGCUGUGGGGAGUUUAGUAUGAAAGAUCAAUGAAAGGCUGUCUACGGGGAGUAGGCUAAAAGCAUCCGUGCCAUCUGCGGAAGCAGUGGGUUGACAUGGCACACUAAUCUCCUCUGGUUUUUUGUGUUUGGGGUCCACGACGUCCAACAGGCUCACUGACAGCUGCACGUAGAAGCAAAUCUGAACCAUGCUCCCGAACGGAGCAACUGCAAGCUGAUGACACACGCUUUGUUUAGGGAAAAGAUUUUUCUUCUCUUUCCCGUUUUAGUGGGAUCACGAGUCUGGAUGUACUAAUAGGAGAAAAAGAGUACCAAUUAGGGAUGUAGACCACGCCGGCCUCAGUUAUUUCCAAACCACUUAAAAUGUGUAAUAAAUGAUCAAAUAAGACAACUCCGUUUUAAGCUCACAGUCGGAUUUGGUUUUCCUCAAGAGCACAUUGGCUCUAAUAACAGAGCGGGCCUUUGAUUUAGCUCUCAGUAACAGGCGAGUAGGCUGCAGACAGAAAACUUUCUGCUGUUUGUGGUGGUUAAUCAGAGAGCUGGAGGCAUGUGGGCAUAUCCCCCUCCUUGGCUUGAGGAUGAUGGCUGGUGUGAGGUGGAUUUUUGCUGGUUGACGGAUCUCCUAGAUCCCUAAAACUGCUCAAUGUUAUGAUUUAUGUCCCAAACUGGGACACACGUAAGAAAAUGCUUAGUCUGAGCACUGAGUCAUGGAAUAGAAAGUCAAUGCCCCAGGGCUUUAUGCAUGUUGGUAUGGCCAAUUCCCAGAAUCCACUGCAGCUACUCCUGCAAAAAAUAGUCCAGACAUGAGCAGGGAUAUGAAAACAUGUGAACUAAAUCUUUGAACCAAAAACAAAACCACUUCUUUCCAUUUUUCUUUACAUAAUGCAGCACUUUGAUCACAGCCAAACAAGGAAAGUGAACCACUUUGAUUAUCCAUUGGCAUUAUGCCUGAAAAAAAAUCCCUCCUGUGUUAAGUUCUGAUAAGAGCUCAUCCAGCAGGAUUUCUCCCACCACUCCCGUUCCCUCGAGAAAUCACCAUCAGCUCUACGCCUGACUUUCAAAUGCUAUGACUGAGUUGUACAAACACCGCGGCCACAGAGGGGUGCGUGCAUGGUAAAGUAAUGGGAUGUAAAAUGGUAUUCAAAAAAGGUGGGAAUGAAAAGAAUGAAGAAAGUAUUAUCUUAUCAUAUAUAUUUAUUUAUUAUCCUUGAAUGUAGCCUUUAAACAAUGGUUCUGAAGUCCAAUAAAGCCCCAAACAAGAUGCUCCAGCCGGUUCUUAGCAAGCCUCCGCAUUCAUGUAAUCGCAGCUGGUGUGCAGACUUGCGCGUGCCCCUUAAAAUCUGAAACAUUGGGGUCCGUGGUUGGACCAACAGGGCACAACUCCUUUUUGAUCAUUGGGUUCUAAUUUUUGUGACCAAAGGUUGCAAUCAGUUGGUGGUCUCACAGAACAGUAUUCUUUUGACAACAUAGAAGGAUCAACAUUGCAUGAAGGAAUUGAAGCUUAUACACAGUUUUUCAUGUCAUCUUUGCGGUUAACCUCCCGGUCAUCUGGCUGCACUUUUGCCUUAGUACCAAACUACAACUCUUGUAACGUCCCGUUAGUCUCAUCAUCAUGUCUCUACCUAUCUCUGUGUGUGUGUGUUUCCCCUGAUUGCACUCAUUGUGCUCACCUGCCUGGUCCACCCAGCUGCCUCCAAUUGUCUCAUCACCCAACUGGUACAUAUACUCCCCUCUGUUCCCUGCUCCAGUUUCUGAUUGUCAUUGUUCUUCACUUUGUGCGCGUCAUGUCUCCCUUGUCAGGCCCUCGUGUUUCUUGAAUGACGGUGCCUUUUGUUGGUUUCUGCUAGCUCCUGUUUGGAGUUGAUUUGAGUUCUUUUGUUCAUCACAUUUUGGUGACCAAGACUUUCACUAAGCUACGUAUGUAACGGGAAAGUCACGUUAGUGACGUCAGUCUGUUCUUCGAUGCCUUGGUCCAUGUGUUGUGAGUCAUGCAGACGACAUAAAACCACCCAAAAUCAACCAUGUUGACCAUGUAACGUCACUCAUCUAUAGCAAAUUGUAAAUUGGCUUUUUUGAGGAAAUUGCACUUUGUUUCUUGUUCUCCUGAGUUUGUACCCUAUGGUUGAAUGCACUUAUUGUACGUCGCUUUGGAUAAAAGCGUAAGCUAAAUGACAUGUAAUGUUCAAAGUAUUACUUCAUUAAAAAAGUUGCACUAUAAAAGACUUAUUACAACGGUUACCCACGUGAUCUGUGUGACUCGGUAAUGAUCAUUUGUUCUCGUUAACGGCCGGAUGAUAAGUCUGUAUUCAAAUAUUGCCGCCAUAAAGCAUCGUCCAGUGGUUCCUAUGCUAAAGGAGCUAAGAAGGGGAACAUGGAAGCUCCUUUCCUUUAGCAUUAGAGAAUCAAAACGGCUCUUAUGAUGCCAGUCACUUGCACUACUUCCGGGUUAUUUCACUCCGUUAGGAACCUUCCUGAGCAAAUUUGACAACUUUUGCAGAUACAAAAACCCGAGUGUGUACACAGAAGGGUUAGUACAAUGUGUACAAAAGGAAUAUGCCGAGCCCAUAAGAUGUGUCCUGUCGUCCAGUCUGGUACUGUGAUGCUUUGAGCAUUUGGUAAGGGUAGAAUACACACAAUACACAAAACAAAAUAUAAAUGUCUUGACAAAAGACAUAUUUAUAUUUUUCUCUUACAAAAUCCCAAUAAAAGGUCCUCAUAUCCUAAAGACCCACUCGCUUAAGUCCAAGCUCCACGCACCACACCCUAACUCCUCAGGACAAGCACAUGGUUCUACUUUCUCCUGUCCAGAUCAGCCAAUUCACGUAUGUGUUCCCAACAGAGGACGUCACCACGGGAGAUCAUUUUACAGGGAUCACAGAGACAUCUGCUAGGAAAAUGGAAUAACAAAACUGAACCAGGUUUUUACAUGUUCGCUGGAACUCAAUUAAAAUCUGAUUAGCAGGAGUAUUAGAGGGAGAUCUUGGAGCGCCAUUGCACGUUUGGUUGCCACUAUCCCCUGGUCAGAUUACGAUGGGGAUUACCCCCAACAGGAUGACCUCUGGACAGGUGCCAGAGGGAAAGAUGGGACAGGGUUCAUGUCACCGUACCAAGUGGGAUUCACAGGGGUAGACUGGGAUCACCCAAUGACAUUCCAGAGGAAAUUCCCACUUUGUAACCACACAUGCAAGCGUGCACAUACUCCAAAUACUCAAGAAUAAUGAAUUGCAUGUACUUGGAUUACAAUAACCUGAUCUCCUUGUACUAAAGCAUUAAAAUAUCUCAACCGUGUUACUUAUAAGAUUAUCAAUUCACAGAUAUAUAGUAGCUGUGUUUUUUGCUUUACUCCAUGCGCAGAGCACGGGGACAUCAGAAUCAAAUCUAAUGAACACCUCAGCUUCACACUGUGACCACUAGAUUAUGUUUAUAGCCUCAUUUUUACACUUGUCAACACCACUCAGGACCAGAUGACAAUGUGAAAACAACCGUUUCAACCUGUAUGACAUAUAGGCCAUGGGAGGUGUAAAUAACACAUCAAUGUCCUAAUCCUGAAAAAAAGAGUGUUUGAUUUAGUGAACUACAUGUUGGAAUUCUAAUGCUUUUAACCGUAACCCUCAUCAUGAUUGCAAAGUGUAGCCCUCAGUGAAUUUACACAUGUGGUAAAGCUUGACGAUGAAGCAACAAUGCUGUUAUGACACGUUUUGUGGUAAACACCAAACCGUAUGAUCGCUGUUUGGCUUUUCAUUGUAAUGUUCACCAUCUCCAGAAUGAUCACUAUAGAAAGUCUAUGAUAUUUCCCAGCCGAGACCGAUAAUGUAGAAAAAGGAGCGUUGAGAUUCAAGAAAAGAAAAAGGAAACUACAAAAAUCCCCAGCUGCUUCCAUUCUGCACUGUUUACCAUGGUUCUCUCCAACAGACUAAAUAGGCCUGUGUUUGACUUCACCAUGCGCUACACAGCCGCUGCAACCCCAAGACCUCUACUUAGGCAGUGUGUGGAAUAAACAGCUUUCCUCAGAAGGGCCUGAGGGUGGAACCGGUGGUGGAUGCGCGAGGCGAUGGGAGAGGUGAGUGGAGGUCUUACUGGAUGAGCCGUUAUCACAGUCCAACACAGCACAGCUGCUGGAACACUUGUUUUUAUUUAUACAUUUCCAUGUGUUCUGUUGCGACAUUAUUGGAUAAUCACACUGGUCUACUUUCCAUGCCUGCCUAAGCUCACAUUACAAAAAUUAUGUAAAGACAUAGGGAAAGAAGUAGACACUGUUUUUGAUCCUAAUACACAGAGAUUUGGUUCUAGCCUUGAGGUAGGACAUACGUGGAAGCGUUUCCAAACAGCAUCAGUAGUGCCAGCUCUUCGCUGAGGCCAUUUGCUGGGAAGCGUAGCAUCUCUGAAUGCCAUGGUGAGAGAGGGGGAGCUGCAAAAAUAUAGAAAAACAAAGUCAAUCUGUACUUUCCAGCAGUUUGGAAACGCUUCUGAAGGACGGUAGAUACGCCCUGGCGAAUACACUGGAGUGAAAUUCCCUCAUUUAGGGAUCAUGACCUGUUCUCACAAGUGCAUUAUCUCUGGAAGAAAGCCUCCGUGCUGCAGAAUCAAUUAAAAACAACCAGACAGAAUGGAAGGAUUAAAAAAACAACUGCACAGCUGAUAAGAGUGUUUGAAAUCCUCAUUUAUCAGAUAAAAUGAUUAUCCUCCAAAGAAGUUGAUGUGGUCAUUAAAAACAAUGGAGCGCGAUUAUGGGUGUUUUUUGUUUGUUUUAAGUUUACAGUCAAAUGCCAAACCGCAUCGAUUGCCACAGCUGAAGCUCCCAUAUUCUCUAUGCUGAAUGACAAACUGACUGAGAAGUGCAGUCAAGUUCGAUGGAGUUGUCUGGCAAAAAAAAAAAAAAUUUUUGUUGCUUGUUUGUCCAAUUGUCUUUACGCAUUGCCGGCUCAGAGCUGUGCAGCAUCAAGGACAACCGUAGAUUGUUUCAAUGUGUGGAAAAAAAACAAAACAUCCACAGCCCUCUUCAAGGAAGUGAAAUAAUCAUAAAUAAUAAGAGGCAGAUUAUGUUUUAGUCUUUAUCAACACAAACAGACACACUCACGCUCAGCAGAAAAUCUAUAUUCUCUGUUCAGUACACAGUUUGAUAUCCCAGCCAUCAUGUUCUUUUGAAUCCAUUAAUCACUUACUGACAAGGCAGCAAAUGUAACUCCACUAUGAAAGAGGCAUUGCAGAUAAAGUCCCAUCAGUCAGACUUUGUCUGUGUGACGACAAGUCGCAGCUGAAAAGCAUCACGCCUACAAAGUCCUGGUGCAUGAGCAGGUUCUCUAAUGUCUGGUGGAGAUCAAAGUGUCACAUGAUGUAUUCUUUGCCAAAAUGAAUGCCAAAAUCAAAGCAUAAUCAGUGGUCCGAGAGAGAAUCAAAAGUCACGUCGGGUCCUUCUUCUCAGUCAUGCAGCGUCAGUGACCCUUCAGCUCGCAUCUGAGGAAAAUGGGCCGACCGACAUUGGUCGUAGUUCUGGGAACAGGAGGCUGUGGUAAAUAUGAAGGAGAACUGAUAAAAACAUUCUCAAUUUUGCAAACCAAAUUUCAAGAUCGCGUCAGCCAACCCUGUCACGUGGUCCUGAUGGAACGUGGCCUAGUUAUAGAAGAUCUGCACAUAAGUCCAGUGUUUUAAAAAAGACUUUUCUGUUUAAUAAUUCGAUAAUGUGCUGGAUGCUUCCGAAAGCGUCUUAUUACCAAGUAUUUGAAAUACAAAGUCCUACAAAUUUAUUCUUCGUAUAAGGAUAUGUUUAAAAGAUCAAUAAAACAGAUACAAGCAACUUCUGUGGAUUAUCCCAGGAAUUACUGUUGCAACAGAACCACUGUUCAGUAAAUCUUUAUCUAUUUCUGAAGUCUCUAGAAAUAGUUGCUGCCAAUUUUGAAAAAUCUGCUAUUUAUCAGCAACUGUUGAUUUAUAUAUUGUUAUAUUUUCAUGUUCCAUUUCAAAGUGUUACAUGAUGUUACAUGAAUUCUCAUUUUCCUAAAGAAACCAUAUCAAAUACAAUUUUUAAACUGAUUUAUAAUGUUACAUUUUUAUAUCAAGAUCUAAUAUCGAUCUUUCUAUCCAGAAACAUCUUUUUUUUCAGAUAUAUAUACACUGUAGUUAUCUUUCCUUAAAGGAUGUACAGCACUAUGGACCAAACGCACUACAUUUUUUAUAACGGUAGAUGUUGAAAUUGUUCAUCGUAGUUUACCCACCUUUUUGAUUUACCGCUGCACCGCCGGCCGUCAGGGAGCUGAGAGGUGAGGGGCGGCUUUGUUCUGAGGGGAGGCUGACAGCCUCUUUAUCUUCCCUCGUCAGACCGAAGACUGUUUGAUCUGACGCUUCUGUGGCUUCCAUCUCUGCUCUGAAGGUGUGAGGGAAGUGUGAUAGUGUUCAAGUCCAUGUGGUUUAUGUUUUAUGAAUGGUCCGAAUCAACCAAAAAACGCCCACACACACAUUUACUUUGCCUUUGUUUGCAUGUAUUGCACACGCGUUGCGUUCAGACAGACUUUUAAGCAUCCGAAACUAACUAAAUAUACAAUGUACACAUACUGUGCUUGAAGUGUGGCCUUGGCCCUCGCCAUAGAACUAGUUAGAGCUGCAGUGAACGUAUUUCAGGGGCUCUCUCCUGUUCUUUUGUAGGAUGGGUGUCUUUCAGCAGCUCACAUCAGAGCCCUGCAAACGGCAAUUAAAACGGAUGUGCUACACUGGCUCUGUAUGGGGAGAGAGAGAGAGAGAGAGAGAGAAGAAAAAGAGAAAUGAGAGGGGACAUGAACGAAAAGAAGUAUGCGAGGGAAAUGUACAGCAGCACCUCUCCUUCAAAACCAUGACUGAUACCGUGUCUAUUGAUCUUUUAUUACAAUAGCAGCAAGCUGUAAAAUGUUUGAUGGUUUUGUACAGAUCUUAGUCCCCCUCAUUCAUAAUUACUGCUACACAUGUAGAACCAAGGGCAACUUCAGAAGGGGCGCUGUUUGAAAAGCUGCUGCCAGACUGUGGGGAUGAUGGGAAAUCUCGGCGGGGCCUCACGGUAGCUCCAAGCCCUGAGGCUACCAUUCCUCCUGCCAAACACCUGAAGAGACGCAGGUUUUACAAAGAUCAAAUUAUGGAGCUGAUUUCAAACGCCAAAUGAGACCAACCAUGUCCCUUUACCGACAAAGUAAGUAAGUUUUAUUUAGAACUUUGGCUUUGGCCCUGAGGGUUUAUGAGAAAACUCUGUAGCACUCAUUUUUGCAAAAUAUAUUUCAGUUGGAUAUUUAGAGCAAGGUUUGGGUACUAGCAUAUGACGUUCACCAAUGCAGGUGUGAGUUUGUUUGCAUGUAAUAUAUUUUAAUAUGACGUCAACCACCACUAAAGCUUUGUCCUAAAAAAAAGUCCUCUUGCCUAAACAAUGAAGCAGUGCACAUUCUUAGCAACUUAUCCUACGCUUCUGUUGGGAAAAAAGUGUGCAAUAGUACACCAGAUCGGACCGUAUACGUCGGCCCUCGUGUCUUGUCUCCUGCCUGUCUGCCUCACACCGUCCCCCCUUCAACUAUGUUAAAGCGUCUUUGAGACAUUUAGAAAAGCGCUAUAUAAAACCAAUUUAUUAUUAUUAUUAUUACACCAGGACCUCCAGUCUUCUCAGUUUCCCCUCUCUGCUCAAUUUUAAUGUUUUCUGAGUUGGCGUUAGGGGAGAUACAGGGCAGAGAGUGGGGGGACAGCAGACCAGAAUACAAGAAAAUAUAUCUGGAUCCGUGGCACCGGAUCAUAGGACAGUGGUUUGUGAUAAAAGGGAUAACAAGACAGGUUUUUUUGCAUAUGGAGAGGUAGAGAGCGCAAGACUGGCCAAGGUCAAAAUCCAUCAAAAACAUUGACGUUUACAAAAGCUUACAAUCCGGAUACAAAAAACGUUCUCAUCGUAUGCGUAUACCGGGGACAGGUAGUAUGAAUCCCAAUAUACUUGUUUAAACAAGCACAUUUGGGCAAGAUAGCAGCAAAAACUGAAGAGAUAAUGAAAAUAAUACGUGUAAUUGCUAACCAGCCUCUUUCGAAAAUCUUAAAUAUCACAAAAUUAUUUAAGAAAAAAAAAAAAAAAAAAGGUACAAUCACGGUUAAUAAUCGAACGUGAUUUCUAUGAGUCACGAUAUCACAUUAAACUUGGCGAGUUACUGCAUUACACACAUUAACCCGAUCUAAUACGGCGUGGGGUUGAAAACAUGAACCUAAAGAGUUGUCAAUCUAAGACCUCGUUUACACGACGGGAAAACGUUUAUAUUUUCAUGUGUUUUGGUCUUUCAUUUACACACAAACAGAGGUUUUAUCAUGGAAAACGAUCAUUUCUAAAAACUCCGGGCCAAAGUGGAGAUUUCUGAAAACUCCGUCUUUGUGUUUGCGUGUGAACUAGGUCAAGCGGAGUUCUAGGUUGUCAAACGUCACAGUGUGCAACUAAAAAUGCUUCACGUCAUGUGAGCGUCCUAUGUUUAAAGUUUUUUAGUUUUCUUAGGCUACUGAUCAUGGAUGGUGUCAUGGUAGUGCUUAUUUGUGCAUUAAUGCAAACCCUUUUGGCCUGUUUCUAUUUACAAACAACUGAUUUUUUACAUCGAGGAGCAGAGGCGAAGAACUGCAUGGAGGUCAGCAGUUCUUCUUCAGCUUUCUACACUCCCAAGACAUAGGUACAUUGCCUGCCAACGUCCCCGCCGAAAGUUUUGGAACCGACCAGGGCGAACCGCUGUCUGGUGGGAAAACUUCGAAAAAGAACACGUCCUCCCGGAAGAAUGGCAUGAAAACUUUAGAAUGUCGCGCUCAUCACUUCUGUCUCUGAGUUAAUGCGCUCGGGGCCGUAUUUAUGCGGGUUCAUAUAGACAAGUUUCCCGGGCACUUCCGGUCUACUUCCUGUUUCUGCAAAGAACUUCCGGUGCACGCUGAGUAGUGGUGUAAAAAUGGCUUUGGAAUGGCAACAUUCGACUGAAAAUCUUGUUAAAAAUGGUGUUUUGACCAUUCCACAUCCAAGUAAGGUAACAUCAUGGGCGGACAACAUGUCGAUAUGCAUCACAACAUCCAAGAUCUUUUCUUAUUUAAACUGAGAUGUAAGAACUAAUGUCAGGCCUGCUGCCUUUGCUGCCCCAGUUAAUGACUGCUGUGUUGCAAAACAGCAUCCAUCAAACUCUUGUGACCUCGGUGUUCCGUUCAAUCGAGGUGGAUUUGUGUCACUUUUGGGAAGUGAGGUGAAGAUGGGUGCCUAUGAUUUAUAUCGGUUUUGCCUUUGUCCAAAGCGACUGAGACUGGUGAUUCAGUCGUGGGAUGGGAUUGAAGAUUCUUCCUUCCUUUGCAAAAAAGGUGUAGCUGCAAAUUGAAGGUGUACAUUUUGUAUUUGGCAACGGGUUGGCUGAUAGAGUUUGGACUGACACUCCUCCCGCACCGGUGGUCAACGGUUUCAUCAGUUGAUUCUACGUCUGACAAGAGCUCCAGAGUGUUGCCUGGAGGUCUACUCAUUCUGCAUAUUUACACGCGCUACACUAAAAAAAACGAUUCAAGCCCUUCUUAGAUGUGACAAGUUUAAAUGGUGUUUGCUUCAUUUGAAUACAUCUAUUAAAAAGGUGAACAUAUAUAAUCAAUAGCAGCAACUUAAAAUGGUUUUUAUAGUUUCACUUCUGAAACUGUGUCAACUCAAAUAAAUUAAUUAAUCAAUGACUAUGCUUUGCGCAUGUGCCACAUUCUGCGCCUUUAGCGUCGUUCUGCAUUUUUUUGCUGACUGAAAUUGGCUGCAUCAUACUUUUUUCUGGCUCUGGUAGAAAUCCAUUAUUUGGUAAGUAACGUUAACUGUAUUUUUGUUACGUUGUUCAAUAACGCUUGUUAAUAAUAAAAAGUUGUGAAACGUUGUUAAAAAGUUAAACCAGGGAAAUUCUGCUCCAUUUUACUAAAGUCCGAUUGGGCAGCAUUCAAGCUAGUUAGCUGAGCGUGUUUAGCAUCAUGACCAAAGGUUAGUAAGUCAGUCAGUCAGUCCCUGUCAGUUAACCCCGCUUUAGCUAACGUUAACUUGCGUUAGCUAAAGCGGCGCAUGUUUCUGAGGGUACGUUUUUUUUUUUAAACAUCGACUUCCCUGUGACAUUUGGAGUAUUUUAGCAUUUCACUUCUCUAAUACAUGUAUCUCAUCCUUUAUAGUUUGGCUCAGUAUCACCAAGGCUAUGGAGGAAACCUCUGUAUGAUAGUAAGUAAUAGUCUGUAUGCUUAAUGCUUUUUCACUGUCAUUUGUGUUUAGUGGGAUGUAUGCUAAUUAUCCUGUUCUCUUUUAUAGGAUUCUGCAUGCAGAGGUGUAAGGAAUGUGGUUUGGAUCUGGAUUUGAGGUUGUGUUAAAAGGGAUGUGGCCGCAUAUAUUAAAACAGUCGCAGAGAAAGUGUCGGAGUUGAAUUGUGUCAUUGCAACACCAGAACGUAGGAAGGACUUUUGCGCAUGAAUGUUUCACUUACGCACAUGCAUGAACUGGAUUUGCGCACUCGGAUUUUUACAGCGAUUUGGAUAUUUAACAUAAUUACGUAAGGCAGAGGUCAACGUUUUUCAAGCCAAGGUCCCCCAAACUGAUGGCGAGGUGGAGCUGGACCCCCUAUUCUACGGAAUUUGGUCCGCCAUCUUUUAUUUUUGAGCUUCACGCUCUUUAGACGUGAGCAUAAACGCGAUCUGAUUGGCUGGUGCCGGCGCUGUCAUAUUCGCAUGAAAGGAGCUGUGAGUGAACCGGUGCCCAGCUUGAGAGCUGCUGAGGGAAGCUGAAUGUGUGUGUUGCGGACUGACAGAUAAUGUCUUCUCCAUCAAUUUAUCCGUUCGCUUCAAUAUGUUGGAUUCAUGUAAUGUGUAUUUAAAGACCAUAAAUAAAAUUCUGAUUCUGAAGACAUUUACAUUUGUGGGGGAAAAACAUUGUUAAUAAAAAUUGUCCUAUCAACCAAAAAUUUCGCGACCCCCCCUGCAGUACCUUCGCGGACCCCCUGUUGAAGACCUGACGUAAGGGUUUUUUACCCAUUGGCACACACAGAGUGCUCCCUGCUUUCAUCUGCACGGAUAUUUAACACCUGGGUUUGCUCAUUGUUCUAGUUUGAAGCACUGAAACUAGAACCACCAGAAGUUAUUUUCACUGGGAGUGAUUUCAUUUAACUGUGUUGAAUAAUCGGCCAAUUAACUGCCGCUAUUGCUUUCGUUAAAAGCAGACUGUGUUUAAAAUAUAAAAGCUUAAAAAAAAAAAAAAAAAUAGCCUUCUAAAAAAAGCAAAAAGUUUUUUCGCUUAUCCUGUGACAUCAUCAUUGUCACUCAUUCAGGCUUUGAUGUUGACCCUCUGACAUCAUCGAGGGAACCGACCAAUGAGGUUUUAGAACUCUUAUGGACACGCCCCUUUCCUUUGAUCUUUGCUAUGACUGCAUUGUUGGUCAUUAGUCAAGCCCCCUGCCUUUGAUCUAACUGCCCGAUUGUUCAUUAGCAGUUCAACUUAACAGCUACACACAUGCACACACAGACGUCUGACAGCAUGUACCCAAGACAAAGCAGAGUUUGUACCCCUGCAGUGCAAUUGGCACAGCUGACUGAUGCCAAGGACAAGAUUGUCCAACUGACAAUUCAGCUGAUGGAACUGGAGGAUUUCAAAAGGUACACCCUCCAAGACGGACAGAAUUUCCACCUCAAAAUGCAACAACACAAAGAGAGAAUGGAAGACCUGGAAAAGACUGAGGCAAAAUACAAGCUAGCACUGGAAACGGUCUCUGUCCAAAACCAACAGAUCUCUAUGCUAUGCGAAGAGAAAGAUGCAUGGCAGAAAGAAAAGACACUCUUGGAGGACAUUUGCCUGGAUCUGAAAAGAAAAACUCAAAGCGUUUGUAUGAUGGGGGGCCGCAAGUUCGAGCUGGGGAAAAUGAAGAGACAAAAGCUUGCUCAACAGGAAGAUAACACGGAGAAUGAAUUUUCCAGCGCGACGCUUGAGGUCGACCAAAAUGUGGAAAAGGUCGCCUCUCUCCCUUCUCCAGCACAAGAUUGUUUGGAGAACCUUCAAGUGACGGGGAUGACCGAGGCUAAGCAGACCAUCGAGACACAAGGGUCAGAAAUCUCCCGUCUGAAGGAGAGUCUUCAAGAUCUCCAGAAGACAGUUGAAGAUCAUGAGGCAGACAUUCAAAAGCUCUCUGAACAAAAUCUCCUGCUUGUAAAGGAGGCAGACCUCCAGAGGUCCACCAACCUCAACCUUCAGAAGCAGCUCUCAAAGAGCAGAAGUCUCCUCACGGCAAAGACAACCGAAGUCCUCCAGAUCCAGACAAACUUUGAGAAACCGUAUUAUAUUCUGAUGGCAGAACACAAUAAUCUGCGGAUAGCCCUCCACGCUGAGCAGGCCAAGCGCAAGUGCCUGGAGGAGAUUAAUAACCUCCUGGUGAAAGAUCAGAAGCUCCUGGAGGACAUCUGCCUGCAGAUGAAGAAAAGGCUCCUAGGAAUCUUUGGAAGGAGGAUGGAAGACAGAGACACAGAGAUGGCAAAGAUGAGGAGAAAGAUGCCGGGAAUGGAGACUGAGAGGGGAGUUUUCCACAGGAUCUUCAGGAGGUAGACUCCCUUUUAAGUUUUUCUCCCGGUGCUCGGGUUUUUCAAAAAAUAUAGGCUGGUGGUAGACAGUGGUUAGCACUGCAGAACUACCUCCAUUAGUCCUUCCCUCUCUUCCCCUAUGAAGUUUUUCUCCCGGUGCUCGGGUUUUUCAAAAAAACAUUCUCUUUAGGCUGGUGGUAGUGUCAUAGCUGAAUGAAGAGAAUAACUCAAACACAAUGGCAAUAACGCGUGGCGACUGCAGCAGGGAGUGAAGGCCAGGUUUGCCUCCUCUGGAUCUCUCUUAACUGGCAGGGGUAUGGCAUAUAUAGACCGUAGGAGACACCGGGCCCAGGUGCUCUCCAUUACAUUACAUUACAUGUCAUUUAGCUGACGCUUUUAUCCAAAGCGACGUACAAUAAGUGCAUUCAACCACAGGGUACAAACUCAGGAGAACAAGAAACAAGAAAGUGCAAUUUCCUCAAAUAAGCGAAUUUACAAUUUGCUAUAGAUGAGUGACGUCACAAGUACAAUUUAAGUGCUACAAUUUGUUAGUCUUUAGUCGAGGUAGAGUCUGAAGAGGUGUGUCUUUAGUUUGCGGCGGAAGAUGUGAAGGCUCUCUGCGGUCCUGAUGUCUUCAGAGAGCGCGUUCCACCAUUUCGGCGCAAGGACAGCGAAGAGUCGAGACCUAGUCGAGUGUUUUGCUCUCAGUGAGGGAGGGACGAGUAGUUUUGCAGAUGCAGAGCGGAGAGUGCGGGUUGGGAUGUAGGGUUUGACCAUGUCCUGGAUGUAAGCUGGACCCGAUCCAUUCACAGCAUGGUACGUGAGCACCAGUGUUUUGAACUGGAUGCGGGCGGCCACCGGUAGCCAGUGAAGAGAGCGGAGGAGUGGAGUAGUGUGGGAGAAUUUCGGAAGGUUGAAGACCAGUCGAGCUGCUGCAUUCAGAAUGAGCUGCAGAGGUCGAAUGGCGGUGGCAGGGAGACCUGCCAGGAGGGAGUUGCAGUAGUCCAGGCGGGAGAUGACAAGAGCCUGAAUCAGUACCUGCGCUGCCUUCUGAGUGAGAAGGGGACGUAUUCUCCUGAUGUUGUAGAGCGUGUAUCUACAGGAUCGCGUUGUCGCAGUGAUGUUGGGAGUCAGGGAGAGUUGGCUGUCGAGUGUGAAU
Molecule: long non-coding RNA, 18888 nt
Organism: Gasterosteus aculeatus aculeatus (three-spined stickleback)
Lineage: Eukaryota; Metazoa; Chordata; Actinopteri; Perciformes; Gasterosteidae
Source: Ensembl